UAUGGGUGCUAUAAACAGUUUCGUAUAAAAAACUAGGGGUUAUUCCCCGACUAAAAAUAACCAUGGAGGGAAACCCCUGUUUAUGUACUCAAUUGGUGAAAAAGUAUCAUGUUUUUUGUAUUUGAUUGUAAAAAUUAGUUAAUUAGCUUUGAAUUAAAACAGGUUGAAUGAUUGAAAUAAUUUUAAAAAUUAUAUUAACUUUACAUGUUUUGAGGGGAGACAACACUGUAAACAUCCUGUUUUUUUGGCAGUGAAAAUUGAAAACUUAUUUGCAGCCACUGUAGCUCUUUUCGGAGCAGGAAACCGUACCCUGAAACAAGAUUUUUUUGAAAGGCCAGGUAAAAACCUACAAAUUUCAUACAGUUUUGAUUAUGUAAAAUGUGCAUGGAUCAUGUCUUCAUGGGUGUGCACAUGACCUGGUUUCAAGUUUUUUUAUGUUCAAGUUAGACCUUUUUUCCCCAUGUUCAUUGGAUGGAAAAUUUUUAAUAUAUUAAAAGUACACAUUAUUUUUAUUUCAUUAUAAACUAGAGAAUAUUCUGAUUCCAGUGAUAUCUAGUUUUAUACAAG
RNAcentral lists this long non-coding RNA (567 nucleotides) under Mytilus galloprovincialis (Mediterranean mussel). The record is from RNAcentral. Lineage: Eukaryota; Metazoa; Mollusca; Bivalvia; Mytilida; Mytilidae.